This 465-nucleotide ribosomal RNA is filed under the name Vreelandella stevensii. RNAcentral describes it as "partial 16S ribosomal RNA". It matches the Rfam family "Bacterial small subunit ribosomal RNA", at positions 338 to 795 of the family's 1533-position model. Lineage: Bacteria; Pseudomonadati; Pseudomonadota; Gammaproteobacteria; Oceanospirillales; Halomonadaceae. The record is from RNAcentral.
CCUACGGGCGGCAGCAGUGGGGAAUAUUGGACAAUGGGCGAAAGCCUGAUCCAGCCAUGCCGCGUGUGUGAAGAAGGCCUUCGGGUUGUAAAGCACUUUCAGUGGGGAAGAAAGCCUUGGGGCUAAUACCCUCGAGGAAGGACAUCACCCACAGAAGAAGCACCGGCUAACUCCGUGCCAGCAGCCGCGGUAAUACGGAGGGUGCGAGCGUUAAUCGGAAUUACUGGGCGUAAAGCGCGCGUAGGCGGUCUGAUAAGCCGGUUGUGAAAGCCCCGGGCUCAACCUGGGAACGGCAUCCGGAACGGCCGGGAUGGGGGGCGGGAGGGAAGGGUAGGAUCCCCGGGGGAGCGGUGACAUGCGGAGGUAGCGGGCGGAAAACAGGGGGGGAAGGGGGCUUUUGAGAUGGACACUGACGCGGAGGUGCGAAAGGGUGGGGAGCAAACAGGAUUAGACACCCCGGUAGUC